Molecule: ribosomal RNA, 403 nt
Filed under: uncultured bacterium
Lineage: Bacteria
Description: bacterial SSU rRNA
Rfam family: Bacterial small subunit ribosomal RNA
Source: RNAcentral
AAUCAACGCUGGCGGCGUGCCUCAGACAUGCAAGUCGAACGCGAAAGUUCCCUUCGGGGGCAAGUAGAGUGGCGCACGGGUGAGUAACACGUAGGUAAUCUACCUUCGGAUGGGGAAUAACAAUCGGAAACGAUUGCUAAUACCGCAUAAUGCAGCGGCACCUAAUGGUGACAGUUGUUAAAGCGGGGGAGUCGAAAGACCUCGCGUCUGAAGAGGAGCCUGCGGCGGAGUUAGCUAGUUGGUAAGGUAAUGGCUUACCAAGGCAACGAUCCGUAACCGGCCUGAGAGGGCGGUCCGGUCACACUGACACUGACAUACGGGUCAGACUCCUACGGGAGGCAGCAGUCGGGUAAUUUUUGGGCAAGUGGGCGAAAGCCUGACCCCAGCAACGCCGCGUGAAGGA